UACGGUGGGGGCAAGCGUUGUUCGGAAUUACUGGGCGUAAAGGGCUCGUAGGCGGCCAACUAAGUCGGAUGUGAAAUCCCCAGGCUCAACCUGGGAACUGCAUCCGAUACUGGAUGGCUUGAAUUCGGGAGAGGGAUGCAGAAUUCCAGGUGUAGCGGUGAAAUGCGUAGAUAUCUGGAGGAAUACCGGUGGCGAAGGCGGCAUCCUGGACCGACAUUGACGCUGAGGAGCGAAAGCUAGGGGAGCAAACGGG
RNAcentral lists this ribosomal RNA (253 nucleotides) under uncultured bacterium. RNAcentral describes it as "partial 16S ribosomal RNA". It matches the Rfam family "Bacterial small subunit ribosomal RNA", at positions 524 to 776 of the family's 1533-position model. The record is from RNAcentral.